Neogale vison (American mink) is the source of this 2059-nucleotide RNA transcript. It is a transcript of the gene named leucine rich repeat containing 23, with no coding region annotated. The record is from RefSeq and is a predicted model, not a curated record. NCBI's taxonomy places the organism in Eukaryota, Metazoa, Chordata, Mammalia, Carnivora, Mustelidae. The transcript has 7 exons.
AGUGAAGGAUUGGGUGGGAGGGUUGGAGAGGGCGUCAGUCUGGUGCCCCAGAGGGGACGGGGAAAUGGGGCUAGACAGGGUGGGAAAGUGAAAAGAAAUGACUGGAGCAGGGGUUAGGGAAGGCAGAGAGGGGAGGAGUGUAGGAGGUUGGUAGGAGAACAUGGCUGAAGGAGGAGGCUGGAAGACCUGGGGAGUGGGGAGGUCAGGAAGCAGGGAGGCAGAGCUUUGAGAAGACAAUUGGAGACCCUGUGAAGGGCAGGAAAGGCCUGGGAAGGCACCCUGAAGGGAGAGAGGUCCUUGGUGGGAGGUCAAGGUGGAGGCUGGGAAUCAAAAUGAGAUGCUCACAGGGAUAAGGAGGGGAGCACAGUUGGGAAGAGAUCAGGGGUGAUGGGAAGGGCACCCCGUCAGUGGAGGCCAGGGAGCUGAAGGUUGGCUAGAGCUCAGGACACAUUCUUUUCGGGGAGGAGCACUGAGCUUGAUCUCUCACUCCAGAGCCUUCAGCAGGGAAGAAAGAUGUCAGAUGACGAGCUGGAAGACUUCGAGCCAGACCAGGACGAUCUGGAAAAAGAAGAUGAUGAGAAGGAGACAGAGGAGUGGGAGGACUACAGGAAGGAGGGAGAAGAGUACUCAGAGGAAUGGAUGCUCAACCCCCUCACGGAGGACAUGAUGAAGGAAGGGCUUUCUUUGCUCUGUAAGACGGGCAAUGGACUGGCUCAUGCUUAUGUCAAGCUGGAGGUUAAAGAGAGGGACCUGACCGACAUCUACCUGUUACGGUCCUACAUCCAUCUGCGCUACGUGGAUGUUUCCGAGAACCACCUCACAGACUUGUCCCCACUCAAUAACCUGACCCACCUGCUCUGGCUCAAGGCCGAUGGCAACAAUCUGCAGAGCGCACACCUGAACGAGCUGCCAUACCUGCAGAUUGCCAGCUUUGCCUAUAACCAGAUCACUGACACUGAGGGCAUCUCCCACCCUCGUCUGGGCAGCCUGGAUCUCAAAGGGAACCGCAUCCGCAGGGUGACUGGUCUGGACCCCCAAAAGCUGAUCAGCCUGCACACACUGGAGCUGCGGGGGAACCAGCUGGAGAGCACCCUGGGAAUCAACCUUCCUAAACUGAAGAACCUCUUCCUGGCCCAGAACAUGCUGAAGAAAGUGGAGGGCUUGGAGCACCUAAGCAAUCUCACUACCUUGCAUCUUCGAGACAACCAGAUUGAAACGCUGAGUGGCUUCUCCAAAGAAAUGACAUCACUGCAGUAUCUCAAUCUGAGGGGCAACAUGGUGACCCACCUGGGGGAGCUAGCCAAGCUUCGGGACCUGCCCAAGCUGCGAGCCUUGGUGCUGUUGGACAACCCGUGUACAGAUGAGACCGACUAUCGCCAGGAGGCCCUGGUACAGAUACCACACCUCGAGCGUCUGGAUAAAGAUUUCUUCGAGGAGGAGGAGCGGGCUGAGGCUGAAGAGAUCCGUCAGAGGUUGAAGGAGACCCAGGAGGAGGAGGCUGAGGCUGAGCAUAACUCUGAACCGAAAGUGCCAUCCGUGUAGCUCUUUGAGCCUCCAAGGAUGGUGAGGAAGCUGACAAGAGAGGCGGGAAGAGGAGGCCAAGGGUCUGUCAGCCCGAGCCAGAGAAGUUGCUGUAGGAGGAGGUGGUUGAGGAAAGAAUAUGGAGAUCAAAGACACUGGCCCUAAGACCUGAGAAGACUCCCAGAGAGCAGAGCUUCCACAUUCAACCCCUCAUCCUGAGACAGAGCAUGCAUGGCUUCUCUUGGCCUAGACCUGGGAAUUCACAGCCUGCUGCCCAGGCUCUGUAAUGGGCACCUGGGCAGCGUCUGGGUGGGUCCGAUCCCUGAUCCCUGCCUGGAACCUGUGUGUGUGUGUGUGUGUGUGUGUGCGCGCGCGCGCGCGCGCGCGCGUUUGUCUGGGGGGAGGGGUGUGUGUUGGGGGUGCUGCUCAGGCAGGUGUAGGGGAACCAGGCCGGGAUCUGCCCAGGGGAUGCUUGCAGAAUUGGCUGCAGAGGAGCUGCGGAGGUGGAGGGGUGUGUGAGAAACAGUUUGGUUUUCAA